This 118-nucleotide ribosomal RNA is filed under the name Solanum tuberosum (potato). Lineage: Eukaryota; Viridiplantae; Streptophyta; Magnoliopsida; Solanales; Solanaceae. The record is from RNAcentral.
GGAUCCGAUCAUACCAGUACUAACACACCGGAUCCUAUUAGAACUCCGCAGUUAAGUGUGUUUGGACGAGAGUAGUACUAGGAAGGAUAACCCUUUGGAAAUCUUGGGGUUGCAUCCU